Long non-coding RNA from Brassica oleracea var. oleracea, 1071 nucleotides. RefSeq lists it as uncharacterized. Lineage: Eukaryota; Viridiplantae; Streptophyta; Magnoliopsida; Brassicales; Brassicaceae. The transcript is spliced from 4 exons. The record is from RefSeq and is a predicted model, not a curated record.
UCUCUUGUGUUUCUUCCCGUCCCUUUCUCUUCUAUUUUGUUUCCACUUUUUUUUUCUUCGUUAAUCAUGCUCCCUAAUCUCACAAAUCUUGUCUCUCUAAUAUCUUUUUUCAUCACCACUAAACCUUUGUUACCACCAGGUCUUGUCAACCUCUCCACCACAUCUCGUCGUCGUUGCAGCCAUAGCUUCGUCACCACCAUAGCUUGUCCAUCGAGGCGAGGAUGAAAAAUCGUUUGACCUCCUCACCACUACGACACAUCUAAGAAGGAACCGGGAAGGAGAAGAAGUGGUGUUACAGAGUGGUGUCUCCGGCUUCGUCUCUCUCCCUCUCUCUCUCUCUCUCUCUCUCUCUGUGUGUGUUCUGAUUCCGGUUUUGUUUUUCUGUUCUUAGUAAAAAAGGCGGAGGAGGCUGAAGAAGCUUGAUGGUUGUGGUCUCGGCGUCAACAGUGGUGGUCUUGACUUCGUCAAUGGUAGCUUAGCGCGGUGGUGGAGGCUGAAUAAGCUUACCUGUGGUGUUCUUGGCUGGUGGUGGAGGCUGAAUAAGCUUACCUGUGGUGUUCUUGGCUGGUGGUCUCGGCCUCAAAGAUGAAGAAAACGAAGGAGCUGAAGUUGACGGCGAAGGAGAUAAAGUUACGGCAAAAAGAAGGAUUUAGGCAAUUGGCAUAAUGAGACAUCUUCAAAGCAAAAACCUAUGGAAUUCGUAUUGGUUGAUGGAUCCAAAUUAAUCAAUGCAUGUUCAAAUUAAUCAAUGCAUGUCAGGAAGCACCAAUGGUCCUUCAUCAUCAAGGGACAUCGAUCUAAUCGCAGGGUGCAACAUAUCGGCCAUGGAAGAUAGAAACUGAGACUUUGCAACGGCGGCGCAAGGGUGCAGGUGAAUCACUUGAGGGAGAAUGUCAACCGUAGUCGAAGCAAAUUUACCGUGAAUCAAGCUAAAUUCAAUUAUGAUUUUUUGAGAAAUCAUCGUAUAAGGAAAACUUGCGCUGGACGUUGAAAUAAUUUGAGAAAGUUCCACGAGGCUAAAGGAAAGUAUAGAAAUUAGCUCACAAUGAGAAUAUUACCGGUAAGUAAAAA